This 510-nucleotide long non-coding RNA is filed under the name Medicago truncatula (barrel medic). RNAcentral's name for it is "long non-coding RNA (MTRU_LNC000698)". Lineage: Eukaryota; Viridiplantae; Streptophyta; Magnoliopsida; Fabales; Fabaceae. The record is from RNAcentral.
CGACCACCAACAAUGGCGGCGUUCACGGCAGCACUACUCAUUUUCACCACCAUACUCACAACCACCACCGCACACAACAUCACCCGCAUUCUCGCCAAACACCCUGAACUCUCCACCUUCAACCACUACCUAUCCCUAACCCACCUGGCUUCACAAAUCGACAGCCGAACAACCAUCACCGUCUGCGCCGUCGACAACGCCGCCAUGGAAGAUCUCCUCUCAAAACACCUUUCAAUAAACACCAUCAAAAACAUCCUCUCCCUCCACGUCCUCCUUGACUACUUCGGCGCCAAAAAGCUUCACCAAAUCACCAACGGCACAGCUCUCGCCGCCACAAUGUACCAAGCCACCGGCACCGCACCUGGCUCCUCGGGAUUCGUCAACAUCACCGAUCUCCGCGGCGGAAAAGUCGGAUUCGGCGCUGAAAACAACGACGGAGCACUAACUGCUUCAUACGUUAAAUCCGUUGAAGAAAUUCCUUACAACAUCUCCGUCAUUCAAAUCAGCUCC